CGCCGGUGGGCGGCCCUGGCCUCGGCGCUGCGGGUGCCGGUGAAGGGGUGCGGCUUGUACAGGACGCGCACCGGCGG
RNAcentral lists this transfer RNA (77 nucleotides) under Streptomyces chromofuscus. Its description in RNAcentral is "tRNA-Arg". Lineage: Bacteria; Bacillati; Actinomycetota; Actinomycetes; Kitasatosporales; Streptomycetaceae. The record is from RNAcentral.